This 152-nucleotide ribosomal RNA is filed under the name Taiwanofungus camphoratus. RNAcentral describes it as "5.8S ribosomal RNA". It matches the Rfam family "5.8S ribosomal RNA". Rfam says of the family: 5.8S ribosomal RNA (5.8S rRNA) is a component of the large subunit of the eukaryotic ribosome. It is transcribed by RNA polymerase I as part of the 45S precursor that also contains 18S and 28S rRNA. The record is from RNAcentral. Lineage: Eukaryota; Fungi; Basidiomycota; Agaricomycetes; Polyporales; Taiwanofungaceae.
AACUUUCAGCAACGGAUCUCUUGGCUCUCGCAUCGAUGAAGAACACGGCGAAAUGUGAUAAGUAAUGUGAAUUGCAGAAUUCAGUGAAUCAUCGAAUCUUUGAACGCACCUUGCGCUCCUUGGUAUUCUGAGGAGCAUGCCUGUUUGAGUGU